This 492-nucleotide ribosomal RNA is filed under the name uncultured bacterium. RNAcentral's name for it is "partial 16S ribosomal RNA". It matches the Rfam family "Bacterial small subunit ribosomal RNA", at positions 30 to 507 of the family's 1533-position model. The record is from RNAcentral.
AUUGAACGCUGGCGGCAUGCUUUACACAUGCAAGUCGAACGGUAACAGGCCUUCGGGUGCUGACGAGUGGCGAAGGGGUGAGUAAUGCAUCGGAAUGCGCCCAGAGGUGGUGGUUAACGCAGCGCAAGCUGUGCUAAUAUCGCAUGUGACCUGAGGAUGCAUGCGGGGGACCACGCAGCAACGUUUGGCCUCGCGCCUCUGGAGCGGCCGAUGUCAGAUUAGGUAGUUGGUGGGGUAAAGGCCUACCAAGCCGACGAUCUGUAGCUGGUCUGAGAGGACGACCAGCCACACUGGGACUGAGACACGGCCCAGACUCCUACGGGAGGCAGCAGCGGGGAAUUUUGGACAAUGGGCGCAAGCCUGAUCCAGCAAUGCCGCGUGCGGGAAGAAGGCCUUCGGGUUGUAAACCGCUUUUGUACGGAACGAAAAGGCUCUGGCUAAUACCUGGGGCUGAUGACGGUACCGUAAGAAUAAGCACCGGCUAACUACGUG